UUUAACGACCGCGGUAUCCUAUCCGUGCAAAGGUAGCGCAAUCAAUUGUCCCAUAAAUCGAGACUUGUAUGAAUGGCUAAACGAGGUCUUAACUGUCUCUUGCAGGCAAUCGGUGAAAUUGAUCUCCCUGUGCAAAAGCAGGGAUAACCACAUAAGACGAGAAGACCCUGUGGAACUUAAAAAUCAGCAGCCACCCUAAAUCACACACACACCCACUGGGUACACGCACCUAAAAGGAGCUGGCCUGCAUUUUUCGGUUGGGGCGACCUUGGAGAAAAGCAAAUCCUCCAAAAAUUGGACCAUAACUCUAGACCAAGAGCGACUACUCAACGUGCUAAUAGCAUCCAGAUCCAAUACAAUUGAUCAAUGGACCAAGCUACCCCAGGGAUAACAGCGCAAUCUCCUCCGAGAGUCCAUAUCGACGGGGAGGUUUACGACCUCGAUGUUGGAUCAGGACAUCCUAGUGGUGCAGCAGCUACUAA
Molecule: ribosomal RNA, 482 nt
Filed under: Lanius minor
Lineage: Eukaryota; Metazoa; Chordata; Aves; Passeriformes; Laniidae
Description: partial 16S ribosomal RNA
Rfam family: Bacterial large subunit ribosomal RNA
Source: RNAcentral